Molecule: RNase P RNA, 275 nt
Filed under: Clostridium sp.
Lineage: Bacteria; Bacillati; Bacillota; Clostridia; Eubacteriales; Clostridiaceae
Description: RNase P RNA component class A
Rfam family: Bacterial RNase P class A
About the family: Ribonuclease P (RNase P) is a ubiquitous endoribonuclease, found in archaea, bacteria and eukarya as well as chloroplasts and mitochondria. Its best characterised activity is the generation of mature 5'-ends of tRNAs by cleaving the 5'-leader elements of precursor-tRNAs.
Source: RNAcentral
CGAGUAAGUCAGACAAUCGCUGCUGAUUUAUUCAGGAGAGGAAAGUCCGAGCUCCAUAGGGCAGGGUGCUGGGUAACCCCCAGUGGAGGCAACUCUAAGGAAAGUGCAACAGAGAGAUACCGCCUAAGNNAACCCCACCUGGAGCAAGACCGAAUAGGAAGGUAAAUGGGAUUGCCCGUCCCGCCUUCGGGUGUGUCGCUUGAGCCCAUUGGUAACAAUGGGCCUAGAUAGAUGAUUGUCAAAUACAGAACUCGGCUUAUAGACUUACUCGUACC